GUUUUCCAGACCUGAACUCCUUGCUGAAGGAAUAAAAGAGACAGCCACAGACAGCCCUGGGACUCUAGAGAGAGAUUCUGGGGACUCCCUGGUGGAUGAGACUGUCAAACGACAGGGUUUUCAAGAAAAUUACGAUGCCAGGCUCUCACGGAUAGACAUCGCAAACACGCUGAGGGAGCAAGUCCAGGAUCUGUUCAAUAAAAAAUAUGGUGAGCCUUUGGGGAGGGGCCAAGGGAGAGGGGGAGGAGCAAAAAGGGACUGCCCCGCCCCUCGUCGAUUCCAUGCCAU
Molecule: long non-coding RNA, 288 nt
Organism: Gracilinanus agilis (Agile Gracile Mouse Opossum)
Lineage: Eukaryota; Metazoa; Chordata; Mammalia; Didelphimorphia; Didelphidae
Exons: 3
Source: RefSeq, a predicted model, not a curated record